Molecule: long non-coding RNA, 1396 nt
Organism: Mus musculus (house mouse)
Lineage: Eukaryota; Metazoa; Chordata; Mammalia; Rodentia; Muridae
Product: predicted gene, 36303
Exons: 4
Source: RefSeq, a predicted model, not a curated record
CUUCAGUCUCUGCUCAAUGCUAUCUCCAUAUUUGCUCCUGAAGGUCACUCUUAGGGCAGCAAAGGGCUGUGAUUCUUCAGGGAGGAAUCUUCCACAGCUGCGUGCGUGCAUGGCUUCUACUUAGGAAAGUGACAUUCAGGUGGUGCCUGUCAUUUUGGAGGCUAGAAUAAGCAAAGGAACACUAUAAGUUAGCCUCGAGACGAGAUAGUAAUAAACACCCCGGUGCCCACAUCAAAGUCCCCCAAGACCACCGCAGAGGCUCGCCUUGCUGCGGUGGGUAACCCCACGAGAGCCCCCAGCAGUGGAAGUUGUCGCAACUCAUCUCAAGCUCCCAGCUUAUUUCUCCUCUUCCGUUUCACGCCCGUCUCCAGCUGCAGCUGCUCAAAGCAAGCCUCCGGCUUGCAGGGGUGGGGAGGUGGGCCAAAGCAAGGGAAAGUACCCCAGGGCCCACACUGCUGCAAAGGGGGACUGAAACAUGUACAGAGAUUCUUUGCUGUCCUUCCCGUAGCCCAUUCUGGACAUAAGUAUCCCUCAGAGGCAAUGGCAGCUAUACACAGCAGUGGCCUUGAUCGAGAACUUGCAUCCUGGCCUUCCGGACUCCUUCUAUCCUUCCUUGCCAUCCCUUCCUGUCCUUCAUUGCCUGAGAGCUCAUUCCUGGUAAACCAGGUUACCUCUUCAAUCUGUGCUUUUAGCGGAGGUGUUUAGACAACUGGCCACCUAAAAGCAGACGCAACUCUGACUUUUAACUGCAUUCUUUUGUACCAGGUACUGCAUGUUUACUGGUGCUCAAGGUCUCUCCUGUGACCGUCCCAGGGGGAUGCUACGAUCACUCCUGGCUCCCGAAAACCCAGAAGACAAAUAUUGGGAAGUCAGGAGCCUGGAGUCACUGAGUCAAGGCCUGAAUGCCCCUGGCAUGGCUGGCUGUGAAGCUGCCGGAUGUUUGACGAGAGUACAGUUUCUACGGAAGAGAAAUGAAGAGCAGUUGUGUGUUCUCGGUGCAGCUUCCUCCAGCUCCAGUUCCUCAUCUGACCACGUGCUCUGGGAUGGUAUCGCCCACAGGAGACUGUGCUAAUCCACAUCAGACAUUAAUCAAGCAAAUGACUCAUAGACUUUCCUGCGGGCUGUCUGAUAGAAGCAUUUUCUCAGCUGAGGCUCCUCUUCCCGGGGAACUCUAGCUUGUGCCAACUUGACAGAAACCUAACCAGGACAAGUAUUGUCCCACCCAGUCAACCUUUCCCUCUGGCUUCCCUGACCCCAAACUGUGACUAGCAGGAUAAAAGGCACUGGCACCACUGCUAUCCGUCACAUGAGAUGCAGCUGAGAGCUGAGCUGAAGCUGCUGCCAUGCCCUUAAGCACCACCCCCAAUUGUAAGAUAAAUAAAACAUAUAAAGGUCA